UGGGGAAUCUUAGACAAUGGGGGCAACCCUGAUCUAGCCAUGCCGCGUGAGUGAUGAAGGCCUUCGGGUUGUAAAGCUCUUUCAGCUGGGAAGAUAAUGACGGUACCAGCAGAAGAAGCCCCGGCUAACUCCGUGCCAGCAGCCGCGGUAAUACGGAGGGGGCUAGCGUUGUUCGGAAUUACUGGGCGUAAAGCGCACGUAGGCGGACCGGAAAGUUGGGGGUGAAAUCCCGGGGCUCAACCUCGGAACUGCCUUCAAAACUAUCGGUCUGGAGUUCGAGAGAGGUGAGUGGAAUUCCGAGUGUAGAGGUGAAAUUCGUAGAUAUUCGGAGGAACACCAGUGGCGAAGGCGGCUCACUGGCUCGAUACUGACGCUGAGGUGCGAAAGCGUGGGGAGCAAACAGG
This 404-nucleotide ribosomal RNA is filed under the name Acidobacteriota bacterium. RNAcentral's name for it is "Acidobacteria bacterium partial 16S ribosomal RNA". It matches the Rfam family "Bacterial small subunit ribosomal RNA", at positions 355 to 776 of the family's 1533-position model. The record is from RNAcentral. Lineage: Bacteria; Pseudomonadati; Acidobacteriota.